This 615-nucleotide ribosomal RNA is filed under the name uncultured cyanobacterium. RNAcentral's name for it is "bacterial SSU rRNA". It matches the Rfam family "Bacterial small subunit ribosomal RNA", at positions 122 to 770 of the family's 1533-position model. Lineage: Bacteria; Bacillati; Cyanobacteriota. The record is from RNAcentral.
GAACCUGUCUCGAGGUGGGGGACAACAGUUGGAAACGACUGCUAAUACCCCAUAUGCCGAGAGGUGAAAGAUUUAUCGCCUUGAGGGGGGCUCGCGUCCGAUUAGCUAGUUGGUGGGGUAACGGCCUACCAAGGCGACGAUCAGUAGCUGGUCUGAGAGGAUGAUCAGCCACACUGGGACUGAGACACGGCCCAGACUCCUACGGGAGGCAGCAGUGGGGAAUUUUCCGCAAUGGGCGCAAGCCUGACGGAGCAAGACCGCGUGCGGGAGGACGGCCUAUUGGUUGUAAACCGCUUUUGAUAGGGAAGAAGCUCUGACGGUACCUAUCGAAUCAGCAUCGGCUAACUCCGUGCCAGCAGCCGCGGUAAUACGGAGGAUGCAAGCGUUAUCCGGAAUUAUUGGGCGUAAAGCGUCCGUAGGUGGUUGUUCAAGUCUGCUGUUAAAGCGUGCGGCUUAACCGCAUACCAGCAGUGGAAACUGGACGACUAGAGUGCGGUAGGGGUCAGGGGAAUUCCCAGUGUAGCGGUGAAAUGCGUAGAUAUUGGGAAGAACACCGGUGGCGAAAGCGCCUGACUGGACCUGCACUGACACUGAGGGACGAAAGCUAGGGGAGCG